Long non-coding RNA from Clupea harengus (Atlantic herring), 345 nucleotides. NCBI's taxonomy places the organism in Eukaryota, Metazoa, Chordata, Actinopteri, Clupeiformes, Clupeidae. The record is from Ensembl.
GAACUAUCCUUUGACUCUCAGGGCCUCAUUUACUAACAGGAUUGGGCCCAUUUCAGGCGUAAUUUCUGCAGAAUUUCCAAAACCACAGCUGUUGGUAUCCCCUUCAGUAAUUUGGCCGACAACCACAGUCCAUCUGAGUUGUGUAGUCCCCAAGGGACCAGUGUAUCCGUGUAUUUUCAUGGUGGGAGAGAACUACACCAUCCCUACAUCAUCAUGCCAGCUGACCCUCACAGGAGAACAAAUUAAAGCCUGGGGACGGGUAAACCCACCUUCGGAGCUUCCAGUGAAAUGUUUCUACACUGUAAAAGAGUCUGGUGUUAAACAUCCCUCUGAUUUCUCUUCUCC